AGGAGUGCUGGCAGAAGUGGGGGCUGUUAGCUGCUGUUAGCCAACUGAAAUAACUGAGAGCUGCAGCGGGGACCCCUGAUACAGACAACAAAAGGAGGGAGACAGGCAUCCGUGGUACUUUGGAGCUGAGCUGGCCACUGAGAGAGGGCAGAGAGCAGGCAGAGUGACCUGAUCAGAUAUGGAACUAAUGCUCAUAAGCUGAGGUCGAAGUCCAGGUCCACAAAUAGGAGGUUCUGCCAGGCUGCAAAGAUGAUGUGAAGAGCAUCACACUGAGGAAGGAGAGCUCUCAACAGUGCUACUGCAGAUCCUGCUUUGAAUCUGGGGUUAACAGAAAGGGAUACAAGCAGAAAAAUAAUGUUCUUUCAUCAGUUCACUUAUCUGCAUGUUUGGAAGCAGUUAGGGCUCUGCUCAACCCAGUGGGUGUAUAAUGUAUGAUGUGACAUACAUCCCAAAACCACUGUUUGAAGUCCAAACAAAGAUUGUGGUGCUGUGAGUAGCUUCACAUAGUGCAGAAGACAUCACGUCUGAAAUCUCUCCUUCAGGAUAUGACCACCGACUUGCUCUCUACCCUCAGUCACAACUACAGGGAACAGGGGACAACUCUGGGACAUGGCAUCGUAUAUUUGAGUGCUUGAUUUAUGAAACACAGUGAAGGCAAACAAAAGCUGGAACAAGACGUUGAUAGGAAAACUCCCUGUGCUUCAGCUAGAAGACACACCUUUAAACAAAACCUCAAAGCAUUUAUUAUAGAAAAGAACAAUUUGUACUGUAUUCAACAAUGUUUUCAAAGGAUUGUCAACCUCUGUCCACAGCCAUUAGAUUUUGGAAAAUACUCUAGUGGAAAUGAAAUGGGAGCUAUCAGCAUUACCAAAACUUGUGAAGCAAAUGUGACUGCAAAGUGGUCUCCAAAAGAAGAGCAGCAAGUUGGAUUCACUUCACUGAACUGUUACUGUCUACAAUACGGCCUUCUCCAACCCAGAUGAGUCAGCCUAAACUCAUAGUAUAUUCAACAGAGAGCACUAUGCUCUUUAAGAAUGUGAUUUGUCUGUCAUAUUUUAGAACAUCUUAUCCUCUAGGUACCUAUUUCUAUACACAAUGGAGAGAACUGCACUGACUAACGUACAUGGAAGUGUCUACCUGUUCAUGAGAAACUCACAUUUUCAUUUAUAUUAAAUCUCCAUGCUGUAUGUGUAAAAUAUGAUGUCAUGGACUGAAACUGUUUAUGUUUGUUUAAUUACCACCAGUGAGUAUAUACACUGGUCAUCUGAAAUUGUUUCAGAAACAGUACUUCUGAUAAAGGCUGCUGCCUUUAUCAAUAGCUUGUUUGGUGUGGACUCUCCUCUGUCAAUGAAGAGAUAGUGAAUUUUCACUUAAAGUGGGAUUAUUUUCU
Gallus gallus (chicken) is the source of this 1390-nucleotide long non-coding RNA. NCBI's taxonomy places the organism in Eukaryota, Metazoa, Chordata, Aves, Galliformes, Phasianidae. The record is from Ensembl.